UAACGCGUAUCCAACCUGCCCUUCACCACGGGAUAACCCGGCGAAAGUCGGACUAAUACCGUAUGUUGUCCAUUGACGGCAUCCGAUUUGGACGAAAGGCUUGGCGGUGAGGGAUGGGGAUGCGUCCGAUUAGCCAGACGGCGGGGUAACGGCCCACCGUGGCGACGAUCGGUAGGGGUUCUGAGAGGAAGGUCCCCCACACUGGAACUGAGACACGGUCCAGACUCCUACGGGAGGCAGCAGUGAGGAAUAUUGGUCAAUGGGCGUAAGCCUGAACCAGCCAAGUAGCGUGCAGGACGACGGCCCUAUGGGUUGUAAACUGCUUUUAUGCGGGGAUAAAGUGGCCCACGUGUGGGUUUUUGCAGGUACCGCAUGAAUAAGGACCGGCUAAUUCCGUGCCAGCAGCCGCGGUAAUACGGAAGGUCCGGGCGUUAUCCGGAUUUAUUGGGUUUAAAGGGAGCGUAGGCCGCGCCUUAAGCGUGUUGUGAAAUCCGGGUGCUCAACAUCCGGCUUGCAGCGCGAACUGGGGCGCUUGAGUGCGCAGAAAGUAGGCGGAAUUCGUGGUGUAGCGGUGAAAUGCUUAGAUAUCACGAGGAACUCCGAUUGCGAAGGCAGCCUACUGUAGCGCUACUGACGCUGAUGCUCGAAAGCGUGGGUAUCGAACAGGAUUAGAUACCCUGGUAGUCCACGCGGUAAACGAUGGAUGCUCGUUGUCGGCCCUUUGGGUCGGUGACCAAGCGAAAGCGUUAAGCAUCCCACCUGGGGAGUACGCCGGCAACGGUGAAACUCAAAGGAAUUGACGGG
RNAcentral lists this ribosomal RNA (804 nucleotides) under uncultured bacterium. RNAcentral's name for it is "bacterial SSU rRNA". It matches the Rfam family "Bacterial small subunit ribosomal RNA", at positions 111 to 917 of the family's 1533-position model. The record is from RNAcentral.